CGCCAGACUCCUACGGGAGGCAGCAGUGGGGAAUAUUGCACAAUGGGGGAAACCCUGAUGCAGCGACGCCGCGUGAGUGAAGAAGUAUUUCGGUAUGUAAAGCUCUAUCAGCAGGGAAGAAAAUGACGGUACCUGAUUAAGAAGCCCCGGCUAACUACGUGCCAGCAGCCGCGGUAAUACGUAGGGGGCAAGCGUUAUCCGGAUUUACUGGGUGUAAAGGGAGCGUAGACGGCAGCGCAAGUCUGAAGUGAAAUGCCGGGGCUUAACCCCGGAACUGCUUUGGAAACUGUUGAAUUGGAGUACAGGAGAGGUAAGCGGAAUUCCUAGUGUAGCGGUGAAAUGCGUAGAUAUUAGGAGGAACACCAGUGGCGAAGGCGGCUUACUGGACUGUAACUGACAUUGAUGCUCGAAAGUGUGGGUAUCAAACAGGAUUAGAUACCCCAGUAC
RNAcentral lists this ribosomal RNA (447 nucleotides) under uncultured bacterium. Its description in RNAcentral is "bacterial SSU rRNA". It matches the Rfam family "Bacterial small subunit ribosomal RNA", at positions 329 to 793 of the family's 1533-position model. The record is from RNAcentral.